Molecule: transfer RNA, 86 nt
Filed under: Litchfieldella anticariensis FP35 = DSM 16096
Lineage: Bacteria; Pseudomonadati; Pseudomonadota; Gammaproteobacteria; Oceanospirillales; Halomonadaceae
Description: Halomonas anticariensis FP35 = DSM 16096 tRNA-Thr
Source: RNAcentral
GUCUGCAUGCUAUUCGGCACUGGAAAAAACCCCGCAACUGACUUGUAAUCAGUAGGUCCCGGGUUCGACUCCUGGUGCCGGCACCA